This 470-nucleotide ribosomal RNA is filed under the name Veillonellaceae bacterium oral taxon 155. RNAcentral describes it as "bacterial SSU rRNA". It matches the Rfam family "Bacterial small subunit ribosomal RNA", at positions 28 to 483 of the family's 1533-position model. Lineage: Bacteria; Bacillati; Bacillota; Negativicutes; Veillonellales; Veillonellaceae. The record is from RNAcentral.
GACGAACGCUGGCGGCGUGCUUAACACAUGCAAGUCGAACGGAGCUAUUUAUUUCGGUAGAUAGCUUAGUGGCAAACGGGUGAGUAACGCGUAGGCAACCUGCCCUCAGGAUGGGGACAACGGCUCGAAAGAGCCGCUAAUACCGAAUGACGUAACUCUUCCACAUGGAAGAGAUACUAAAGAUGGGUCAAACCAUCGCCUAAGGAUGGGCCUGCGUCUGAUUAGCCAGUUGGUGAGGUAACGGCUCACCAAAGCGACGAUCAGUAGCCGGUCUGAGAGGAUGAACGGCCACAAUGGGACUGAGACACGGCCCAUACUCCUACGGGAGGCAGCAGUGGGGAAUCUUCCGCAAUGGGCGAAAGCCUGACGGAGCAACGCCGCGUGAGUGAAGAAGGUCUUCGGAUCGUAAAGCUCUGUUGUCGGGGACGAAAGGAAAGGGGAGGCAAUGCCCUUUUCAAGACGUACCUGAC